This 465-nucleotide ribosomal RNA is filed under the name uncultured bacterium. RNAcentral describes it as "partial 16S ribosomal RNA". It matches the Rfam family "Bacterial small subunit ribosomal RNA", at positions 338 to 795 of the family's 1533-position model. The record is from RNAcentral.
CCUACGGGGGGCAGCAGUAGGGAAUUUUCGUCAAUGGGCGCAAGCCUGAACGAGCGAUGCCGCGUGAGUGAAGAAGGCCUUCGGGGCGUAAAGCUCUGUUGCGGGGGAAAAAAGGCAGCAUAAGGAAAUGGGUGCUGACUGAUGGUGCCACGCCAGAAAGUCACGGCUAACUACGUGCCAGCAGCCUCGGUAAUACGUAGGUGGCGAGCGUUAUCCGGAUUGAUUGGGCGGAAGGGGUGCGCAGGCGGUACUGCAAGUCUGGAGUGAAAGGCAUGGGCUCAACCCAUGCAUGGCUUUGGAAACUGGAGGACUUGAGAACAGGAGAGGGCGGUGGAACUCCAUGUGUAGCGGUAAAAUGCGUAGAUAUAUGGAAGAACACCAGUGGCGAAGGCGGCUGCCUGGCCUGUUGCUGACGCUGAGGCACGAAAGCGUGGGGAGCAAAUAGGAUUAGAUACCCGGGUAGUC